GACGAACGCUGGCGGCGUGCCUAAUGCAUGCAAGUCGAACGCAUUUUCUUUCACCGUAGCUUGCUACACCGAAAGAAAAUGAGUGGCGAACGGGUGAGUAACACGUGGGUAACCUGCCCAUCAGCGGGGGAUAACACUUGGAAACAGGUGCUAAUACCGCAUAAUUCCAUUUACCGCAUGGUAGAUGGAUGAAAGGCGCUUUUGCGUCACUGAUGGAUGGACCCGCGGUGCAUUAGCUAGUUGGUGGGGUAACGGCCUACCAAGGCUGCGAUGCAUAGCCGACCUGAGAGGGUGAUCGGCCACACUGGGACUGAGACACGGCCCAGACUCCUACGGGAGGCAGCAGUAGGGAAUCUUCGGCAAUGGACACAAGUCUGACCGAGCAACGCCGCGUGAGUGAAGAAGGUUUUCGGAUCGUAAAACUCUGUUGUUAGAGAAGAACAAGGAUGAGAGUGGAAAGUUCAUCCCUUGACGGUAUCUAACCAGAAAGCCACGGCUAACUACGUG
RNAcentral lists this ribosomal RNA (507 nucleotides) under uncultured bacterium. RNAcentral describes it as "partial 16S ribosomal RNA". It matches the Rfam family "Bacterial small subunit ribosomal RNA", at positions 28 to 507 of the family's 1533-position model. The record is from RNAcentral.